UGGGAUACUGUGAAGCCGCGACGCUAGUUGUGGUGGAGUCGAUCCGUGAAAUACCACUCUGGUCAUAGUGAAUAUCUAACUUCGGGCCAUAAUCUGGUCCAGGGACAGUGCCUGAUGGGUAGUUUAACUGGGGCGGUUGCCUCCCAAAAUGUAACGGAGGCGCCCAAAGGUUCCCUCAGCCUGGUUGGCAAUCAGGUGGUGAGUGUAAGUGCACAAGGGAGCUUGACUGUGAGACAGACAUGUCGAGCAGAGACGAAAGUCGGGACUAGUGACCCGACGGUGGCUUGUGGAAGCGCCGUCGCUCAACGGAUAAAAGGUACCCCGGGGAUAACAGGCUGAUCUUCCCCAAGAGUCCAUAUCGACGGGAUGGUUUGGCACCUCGAUGUCGGCUCGUCGCAUCCUGGG
RNAcentral lists this ribosomal RNA (405 nucleotides) under Ditylum brightwellii. Its description in RNAcentral is "partial Bacterial large subunit ribosomal RNA". It matches the Rfam family "Bacterial large subunit ribosomal RNA", at positions 2148 to 2551 of the family's 2925-position model. The record is from RNAcentral. Lineage: Eukaryota; Bacillariophyta; Thalassiosirophyceae; Lithodesmiales; Lithodesmiaceae.